CAGUAGCCGCGGUAAUACGUAGGUCCCGAGCGUUGUCCGGAUUUAUUGGGCGUAAAGCGAGCGCAGGCGGUUAGAUAAGUCUGAAGUUAAAGGCUGUGGCUUAACCAUAGUACGCUUUGGAAACUGUUUAACUUGAGUGCAAGAGGGGAGAGUGGAAUUCCAUGUGUAGCGGUGAAAUGCGUAGAUAUAUGAAGGAACACCGGUGGCGAAAGCGGCUCUCUGGCUUGUAACUGACGCUGAGGCUCGAAAGCGUGGGGAGCAAACAGGAUUAGAUACCCGGGUAGUCCCUGUCUCUUAUACA
Molecule: ribosomal RNA, 301 nt
Filed under: uncultured bacterium
Lineage: Bacteria
Description: partial 16S ribosomal RNA
Rfam family: Bacterial small subunit ribosomal RNA
Source: RNAcentral